This 253-nucleotide ribosomal RNA is filed under the name uncultured bacterium. RNAcentral's name for it is "partial 16S ribosomal RNA". It matches the Rfam family "Bacterial small subunit ribosomal RNA", at positions 524 to 776 of the family's 1533-position model. The record is from RNAcentral.
UACGUAGGGUGCGAGCGUUAUUCGGAAUCACUGGGCUUAAAGGGAGCGUAGGCGGGCUGCCAAGUCCGGGGUGAAAUCCUCCAGCUUAACUGGAGAACUGCCUCGGAUACUGGAAGUCUCGAGGAGGGUAGGGGCAAGUGGAACCGUGGGUGGAGCGGUGAAAUGCGUUGAUAUCCAUGGGAACUCCGGUGGCGAAGGCGACUUGCUGGACCCUUUCUGACGCUGAGAAGCGAAAGCAUGGGGAGCGAACAGG